AUUCCUACGGGAGGCAGCAGUAGGGAAUAUUGCACAAUGGGCGCAAGCCUGAUGCAGCAACGCCGCGUGCGGGAUGACGGCCUUCGGGUUGUAAACCGCUUUCAGCAGGGACGAAGCUUUUGUGACGGUACCUGCAGAAGAAGCACCGGCCAACUACGUGCCAGCAGCCGCGGUAAUAAU
This 180-nucleotide ribosomal RNA is filed under the name uncultured bacterium. RNAcentral describes it as "partial 16S ribosomal RNA". It matches the Rfam family "Bacterial small subunit ribosomal RNA", at positions 335 to 526 of the family's 1533-position model. The record is from RNAcentral.